Molecule: ribosomal RNA, 500 nt
Filed under: uncultured bacterium
Lineage: Bacteria
Description: partial 16S ribosomal RNA
Rfam family: Bacterial small subunit ribosomal RNA
Source: RNAcentral
AUUGAACGCUGGCGGCAUGCCUUACACAUGCAAGUCGAACGGCAGCACGGGAGCAAUCCUGGUGGCGAGUGGCGAACGGGUGAGUAAAGUAUCGGAACGUGCCCAGUCGUGGGGGAUAACGUAGCGAAAGUUACGCUCAUACCGCAUACGAUCUAUGGAUGAAAGCGGGGGAUCGCAAGACCUCGCGCGAUUGGAGAGGCCGAUAUCAGAUUAGGGAGUUGGUGGGGUAAAGGCUCACCAAGCCGACGAUCGGUAGCUGGUCUGAGAGGACGACCAGCCACACUGGGACUGAGACACGGCCCAGACUCCUACGGGAGGCAGCAGUGGGGAAUUUUGGACAAUGGGCGAAAGCCUGAUCCAGCCAUGCCGCGUGCAGGAUGAAGGCCUUCGGGUUGUAAACUGCUUUUGUACGGAACGAAAAGGUUUGGCCUAAUAAGCUGAGCUCAUGACGGUACCGAAAGAAUAAGCACCGGCUAACUACGUGCCAGCCGCCGCAGUAA